GUGAGGAAUAUUGGUCAAUGGGCGAGAGCCUGAACCAGCCAAGUAGCGUGCAGGAAGACGGCCCUAUGGGUUGUAAACUGCUUUUAUAUGGGGAUAAAGUGAGCUACGUGUAGUUUAUUGCAGGUACCAUAUGAAUAAGGACCGGCUAAUUCCGUGCCAGCAGCCGCGGUAAUACGGAAGGUCCAGGCGUUAUCCGGAUUUAUUGGGUUUAAAGGGAGCGUAGGCCGCCCCUUAAGCGUGUUGUGAAAUGCCGCGGCUCAACCGUGGCACUGCAGCGCGAACUGGGGGGCUUGAGUGCACGCAACGCAGGCGGAAUUCGUGGUGUAGCGGUGAAAUGCUUAGAUAUCACGAAGAACUCCGAUUGCGAAGGCAGCUUGCGGGAGUGCGACUGACGCUGAAGCUCGAAGGUGCGGGUAUCGAACAGGAUUAGAAACCCUAGUAGUCC
RNAcentral lists this ribosomal RNA (445 nucleotides) under uncultured bacterium. RNAcentral's name for it is "bacterial SSU rRNA". It matches the Rfam family "Bacterial small subunit ribosomal RNA", at positions 354 to 796 of the family's 1533-position model. The record is from RNAcentral.